AAAGAACUUGCUGGGCAGUAAUUCGGUAGAGAAGUAAAUCAUCCUUUUAUCCAUAUUCUUCAUAUAUAUUGGUAAAAUUUGUACCAUAUAACCUAAUAUUUUAGCAUGCCUCAAGUAAUAUGCAGUGAACAUAUUGCAUAGAUACUUGCAAACAAUAAAGUAUGCUUCUCAAUAUAUUGAAAAAUCUAGACGAAACUCACAACCAGAGCAUAAUGAAAUAGGAACAUACAUUCUACUUGUUUUAACUCAAACGUAGAACUCAAGGUUUUAAAUUUUGCACAGAACCAGACUUUUUUGGUCAAAACAAAUCAGUUUCCACUAGUUCUGUCCAAUUUCAAUGCUUUUGGCCAAUUUCAAUCAAAAUCAGCUGAAAAUGGAUAUGGGUGCCCUUUAUUGAAAGUUUUAUUCCAGUGUUUACUAACAUAUUUGGGUUAUUUUCUUCUCUGUUCUUUUUUAAGUACAUUGGCUGUAUAGUUUCAAAUUUUUUGUUGUUUUUCUUUUUCUUUUGUAUUCUUGAGUUAAAAGGGCAAUAGAUGAUAAGCAUUACCCUGAUGGGUUAAAGCCACUGACAAGGCCCUUAAUACAAUCAUAUAUAAAAAUUAAUGCAAACGACCAAAUAAAAUACACUAUCGUAUACAGCAGAUAUCCUUUUAGAUAACAUAAAUUCCACAUUUUAUAACUACAUGAAUAUAAUUAAAUAGUCACUUAACCUUAAAAAUAUGAGAAAGAAGUGU
Molecule: long non-coding RNA, 734 nt
Filed under: Phoenix dactylifera (date palm)
Lineage: Eukaryota; Viridiplantae; Streptophyta; Magnoliopsida; Arecales; Arecaceae
Description: long non-coding RNA (PDAC_LNC018831)
Source: RNAcentral